RNA transcript from Stegastes partitus (bicolor damselfish), 3144 nucleotides. It is a transcript of the gene named chemokine XC receptor 1-like, with no coding region annotated. The record is from RefSeq and is a predicted model, not a curated record. The transcript is spliced from 3 exons. Lineage: Eukaryota; Metazoa; Chordata; Actinopteri; Pomacentridae.
GAACGGAAACCUCGUCAAAAACCCACAAUGUACAUACGUAAGCUAGCUAUAAGGCCUGCCUUGAAACAGUCUGUUGGGAUGUUCAUGACAUAUUUAGCAUGAGCCAAAAUCACAACAGGGAAUAAAUGAUCGCUUGUAACUGUGUUUGGUGAAAAGAGCAACGCCGCCACUCGCUGUUUAAUCACAACAUGUACAUUCCAAACUGAUUGCUAACACGAUCUAAAGAGCUUAAAUACUGUGGCGUUCAAUUAACCUCGCGGGCAUCAGGUCAUCCUGCUGAAGCGUCUGGAGAAGAAUCAGUGUUGAAUUUAUUGAGCUGUAGCUGUUUUAUAACUUUCACAUGAGCUCCAGUCCUCCUGUACACGGCCAUCAGACCACAAUCAGUUCCUUCAUUGCAGACAUUCACUCCGUGACCGAAGCACACAGCCGUGGUCCAGAGUUUCAGGUUCAAUGUCAGAACAGGGAAGAAAUGUGAUGCUUGUUUGAAGUUGGUUUUCGUGUCUUGUUGGAUUCUUCUAAAUGUUACAGAGCAAAAAAAAAAAAACAUCCAGUGAGUGGCAGCUGUUAACGAGAGAGACGAACACCUCGUUAACGAGACGGCCAGAGGAGAAUUUGGUUCAAGCUGGCAGGAAUCACAGCAGCAGACUCAGACUUCCUAAACAUUAAAACAUGAGCGGGAAGGCACCCGACACACUGGGCUGAGUGUAAAUAGUAUGAGCUUCAUCCUGUAGUUUAGUUAAUCAAUCUAUAAUUAAAGAGCGGUUUCAAUGUGAUUCACUCUGAUUAAUUACAUCUUUUGUGUGUGUUUUUGCUCCAAUCAACUCUGAAUCUACAUCUGCUGGAAGUGCAAAGUCUGUCUUUGUAAAUAAAGAUAAAAGUUGAACGCAUGCCAGCGUGUACGACAGCUUCUCUCUUGUUGCUUUAUAUUAAAGAACACUGAUGAAACCUGGUGCCGCUGCUUUCACUUCUCUAUUGCAAAACACAGUCCGGUGGAAAGUCAUCACAGGCGGGCGUUCAGAUUCUGCUGUGUUGGUACUUUUCUCCGGUCCCGGAUGGACUGAAAGCACCUGCAAGAACUGGGUUUAUAAGACACAAGUGACACAAGCGCUGAGAGGAACCUGCAGCGACCCUGAGAUCGAUUGUCAUUUUCCUCACAACACCUCAACGAGUAAAGAAUGGCCCCUUCUUCGGAUCCGUAUGGAGAUUAUAUAGAGCACCUCGACUAUUAUUACUACGAAAUCUUAACCACCGACAACUUUGACUUUACUUUAUCACAUCCUCCAGGAGAACGAACAGUGUUUCAGGUCUACGCCGCUGCGUUCUGCACCCUCAUCUUCUGCAUCAGUUUGCCUGGAAACAGCUUCCUGCUCUGGGUCCUUCUGAAGGAACGAGCCUGGAGGACCACACACGACAUCUUCCUCCUGCAGCUCGCAGUUUCCAACCUCUGCUCCACCACGACGCUGCCCUUUAUGGCCAGCAAUGCCCUCAACAGCUGGGUGUUUGGGUGGACGGCCUGUGGAGCUGUGAGAGGGUUUUUUUUCCUGGGAAUGAACAGUUAUCCAAUAAUAGUCACUGCCAUGGUUUUGCAUUCUUACAUUACCGUGGUUCACGCUUCACGUGUGUCUGCGCAGGCCUUCAGUAAACGCCGAGUCCUCGUGGGCAGCAUUGUGAUGUGGCUGCCGUGUGCUGCUGUGAGCAUCAGGGACUCGAUGGAUAGUGUGGCCAUACCCCUAGGUGAAGAUGAGAUGUGUACAGGUGUAGAGUCGGCCUACUCGAUGACUGUUAGCGUGUCCUUGGGUAUGACCUUAUUCUUCCUCCUUCCUUUAGCUAUCAUCACAUUCUGCUACGUCCACUUGUGGAUAACUAUCAGACAGGGCAGGAUAAACAGACAGGACCAGCCCUCCAAACUGAUUCUAGGGAUAACUGUUGGUUAUUUCCUUUGUGUGGCUCUUCACCACAUCACACUCUUAAUGAACUCCCUGUACUUAGUGAACAUUUUCAGAUCUACAGCGUACCUGACGCACACGGUGCACUGUCUGAUGUUCAUCAGCUACCCACUGACUCACUUCUAUUGCCUUCUGUAUCCUCUGUUCUACAUACCUGGAGCCCAGAGGUUCAGGAGGCAUCUCCCCCAACGCUGUCAAAGAAACAGAGAUGACAGUUCAGUGGCAUUAGUCAAUCUGCUAGAAACAUGUGAAGACGAGGACAUGAUAGUUUGUCACGCCUUAACAAGCCGUACUUCGUGAUUAGAAGGAACUCCUGACAGACGCCGGCCGUGAACGUUUGACUCGCUUCUUGUUUGUGACGGCAGCUUACAACUUGAAAUGAAUUUGUAGUUUGAUUUUAGCUGCCAACAGCUGCAGGUUACAUUAGCGCAGACACUUAAAUGUUGUUUUUUAUUUGCUUGUGCUUUGGCAAAGAUAAAAAGACACCAUCCAGACAUGUGGAGGGAUGUCCUUGUCUUGUUUGAUUUUCACCACACGACUGAUUGCAACAGAACAACAAGAAAACAAGAGUACUGAUGAAUCACUCAUCGGGGGAACUACUCCUGUAGAUUUCAUCAGAGACGCUCAAACCGACACAUAGUGAAAGACUAGACAGGAUGCAGCAGAACUGACGUUUGAUGGUAAAUGCAGUAUUGGUUUAUAGGAAAGAGGAACAAUCAACUAGGAUAACUGUAAACCAGCUUUGUCUCUAACGGUGAAGAAAAACAGCAGCAGAUUGAAAUAUAUGAAACCAAAUGUGGCGUCUUCGUUGUCAUUCUUCUCUACGGAUCCCGUUGUUGUGAUGAUGUGACUGUAUUGAACAAAUCAGCCCACAAGGUGGCAGCAGAAAUGAACGGGAGUCUUUCUGAUGGCAGCUCCUUCAUGUCGUUUUGUUUUCAGACCAAUCAUGAUCAUGUGAUUUAUGGUUGUUUUGUUGAAUCGUGUCAGUCUUGUGCUUCGACGUCACACUAACAACACCUGAUGUUUUACAAUCCGACUGCUUGUAUUGUCAGUCACACUGUCUGUAAAGAAUGUCUGAUCUCCUGCUAUCAGCCAUCUGAGUCUGAAUCAAAUGGCUUGAAAACAGGGAUUUGUAACGUACGAUGAUUCAUCUGGUGUCCGUCCUCUAAUUAAAUGUGGUUAUCGACCUUCCAACAAA